This is an RNA transcript of Populus trichocarpa (black cottonwood), 1509 nucleotides long. It is a transcript of the gene named protein LATERAL ROOT PRIMORDIUM 1, with no coding region annotated. Lineage: Eukaryota; Viridiplantae; Streptophyta; Magnoliopsida; Malpighiales; Salicaceae. The record is from RefSeq and is a predicted model, not a curated record. The transcript has 4 exons.
AAGAAGAAGAGUGAUUUACAGUUAGAAACAGAGGAAUUUCAGCACACAGUAGUUGACUACUAGUAGAAAGGCAACUCUGCAACAAAUCUCUCUGUCUGAGCAGCAAUAAUUGCCUUCAUGUUGUACACUUCUAUAUCAUUGUAAGCUUAGCUAGCUAGCUAGCUCAUAUCCAUCACUUAACUGCCAUUGCAAGUCUUUUCUUUGUACUAUACACAAUCAUCCACUUACAUUCUUGAUACAAACCAUCAACCGUGGCCACUUCAACUCCUAGUACCCUCACCACCUCCAAAACAUGGCCACCACCGCCACAUCCAGUCACCACCACUACCUUCCCACCUGAUCAUACAAACAUGUUAGGCCUUCACAACAUACUCUUUAUAGCUCCACCACCUUCUCCUUUUCACCACCACCAGCCUCCACACAUUCCCUCUACUCACCAAAUAGCCAACACCAAUGAUCAAUGUAACAUUGCAAACAAUCAAGAAUCUUGGACCACUCUCAAUAAAUACCAGCAAAAAUCUAGUUUUCUUAAAAGGGGUGAUUUAAAUGUUGUUGGGGAUAAUGAUACUGGAAGGAAUAUUGGUCCUGCAAGAGCUUGCAGGGACUGUGGAAACAGGGCAAAGAAAGAGUGUCAGUAUAGGAGGUGCAGGACUUGUUGCAAGAGUAGAGAGUAUGAUUGUACCACUCACAUGAAGAGCACAUGGGUGUCUGCUGCAAGGAGGCGAGAGAGGCUUGGUUGUGGCGGUGGUGGUGGUGGUGACUCUUCUGCUUCUUCUGGUGGUGGCUGUGUUGGUGGUAAAAGGCCAAGAGAAAAUGUGACCGCUACAUCUAAUAGUUUUAGUACUUCUAAUAACAAUGCUGCUGCUUCUGUCAACUUCGAUACAGGCUCUAGUUAUCAGGAUGCAAGCUUCAAACUGUCUUUACCUGGCCAAGUUCGUGAACCGGCAGUUUUCAGGUGCGUUAGAGUAACAGCCAUUAAUAGUGGUGAAGCUGAGGUUGCCUAUCAAGCUAAGGUGAAUAUAAGUGGCCAUGUUUUCAAGGGCAUUCUUUAUGAUCAAGGGAUCGACGAGAAAAACCUGUUUCCAUGUGUUUCAAAAAUGCAGUCUGGUGAAAGGACUAGAGACUCCACCUCGCCAAUUGUUGAACCAUCCGUUGCCUACGCAGCCACAGGGAACCACAGAUUGCUUGAAGGUUAUGCUUUUCCUUUUUGAUGGAGUGGAAGGAUACUUUCCUAGUUAUAAGAUCUAGCCUCGUCUGAUACGUGUUUUGUCAACCCGGGUACUGGCCUAGCCUGGUAAUGGAUGAGAUCCACUGCUGUGUGGUUUGGCUUCAAGGCAUGCAGAAGGUGUGAAUCCACCUCUUCUCUUAAAUUGUAUGUACUGGAAAGGGAUUUCAUAGUUUUUCCUAGUUUUGCUUCUGAGGUGAAACUCCUUUGGCUGUUCUUAAUGCCUUGUUCAGUUCGAAUUUUCCCUCUCUUUAAUGGUGGACAAAGAAAAAUUCUUGGAAGAA